Molecule: ribosomal RNA, 534 nt
Filed under: uncultured bacterium
Lineage: Bacteria
Description: bacterial SSU rRNA
Rfam family: Bacterial small subunit ribosomal RNA
Source: RNAcentral
UGGGGAAUCUUGGACAAUGGGCGCAAGCCUGAUCCAGCCAUGCCGCGUGAGCGAUGAAGGCCUUAGGGUUGUAAAGCUCUUUCACCGGUGAAGAUAAUGACGGUAGCCGGAGAAGAAGCCCCGGCUAACUCCGUGCCAGCAGCCGCGGUAAUACGGAGGGGGUUAGCGUUGUUCGGAAUUACUGGGCGUAAAGCGCACGUAGGCGGAUCGGAAAGUUGGGGGUGAAAUCCCGGGGGCUCAACCCCGGAACUGCCUCCAAAACUAUCGGUCUAGAGUUCGAGAGAGGUGAGUGGAAUUCCGAGUGUAGAGGUGAAAUUCGUAGAUAUUUGGAGGAACACCAGUGGCGAAGGCGGCUCACUGGCUCGAUACUGACGCUGAGGUGCGAAAGUGUGGGGAGCAAACAGGAUUAGAUACCCUGGUAGUCCACACCGUAAACGAUGAAUGCCAGUCGUCGGGUAGCAUGCUAUUCGGUGACACACCUAACGGAUUAAGCAUUCCGCCUGGGGAGUACGGUCGCAGAUUAAAACUCAAAGG